GCGGCUGUCAUGGUGACAAACGCCAUGCUGCGAAAAAGAGCAAGUGCACCCAGGUAUCCGGGAAAGCCAGCGCUUCCGGGAGGAGGAGGAGCCAAGCUGUGGGUACAGGGGGUGGGUGCACAGGAGACUGAUCGGACAACAGGCACAGUAGCUACAAGUCUCUCCUGGGACUACCGAGGAGGCACAAGAACGACCAGGAAAGCAGAAACCUGUUCAGAAGCUCACCUAUUUUUUCAGGCUGCAUUAUUCAGUCGAUUCCAUUUCUACCCUAGCUGACAUGAUUCAGUUAUUUAGCUUUCAACAGCUCUCCAGUUUGCUUUUUCAGCAAUCUGGUUGCUAGGGUCCA
This is a long non-coding RNA of Xenopus laevis (African clawed frog), 346 nucleotides long. RefSeq lists it as uncharacterized. Lineage: Eukaryota; Metazoa; Chordata; Amphibia; Anura; Pipidae. The record is from RefSeq and is a predicted model, not a curated record. The transcript is spliced from 3 exons.